CAGACUCCUACGGGAGGCAGCAGUGGGGAAUUUUGGGCAAAGGGGGAAACCCUGAUCCAGCCAUCCCGCGUGUGCGAUGAAGGCCUUCGGGUUGUAAAGCCCUUUUGGCAGGAAAGAAACGUCGCGGGUUAAUACCUCGCGAAACUGACGGUUCCUGCAGAAUAAGCACCGGCUAACACGUGCCAGCAGCCGCGGUAAUACGUAGGGUGCAAGCGUUAAUCGGAAUUUCUGGGCGUAAAGCGUGCGCAAGGCGGUUCCGGAAAGAAAGAUUUGAAAUCCCAGAGCUUAACUUUGGAACUGCAUUUUAACUACCGGGCUAGAGGUGUCAGAGGGAGGUGGAAUUCCGCGUGUAGCAUGAAAUGCGUANAUAUGCGNGGAAAACCGAUGGCGAAGGCAGCCUCCCGGGAUAACACUGACGCUCAUGCACCAAAGCGUGGGGGGCAAACAGGAUUAGAUACCCUGGUAGUCCACGCCCUAAACGAUGUCAACUAACCUGUUGGGGCCUUCGGGCCUUGGGGAGCGCAGCUAACGCGUGAAGUUGACCGCCUGGGGAGUACGGUCGCAAGAUUAAACUCAAAGGAAUUGACGGGGACCCGGACAAGCGGUGGAUGAUGUGGAUUAAUUNCGANNGCAAAGCCAAAAACCUUACCUACCCUUGACAUGUCNGGAA
Molecule: ribosomal RNA, 670 nt
Filed under: Alcaligenes sp. JRI30
Lineage: Bacteria; Pseudomonadati; Pseudomonadota; Betaproteobacteria; Burkholderiales; Alcaligenaceae
Description: bacterial SSU rRNA
Rfam family: Bacterial small subunit ribosomal RNA
Source: RNAcentral